Phascolarctos cinereus (koala) is the source of this 1189-nucleotide long non-coding RNA. RefSeq lists it as uncharacterized. NCBI's taxonomy places the organism in Eukaryota, Metazoa, Chordata, Mammalia, Diprotodontia, Phascolarctidae. The record is from RefSeq and is a predicted model, not a curated record.
CCCAUCCCACUGUUAAAAGAAAAUGCUCGUAUUGCAGGGUGGAUUGUAGUGUUGUGACUUUAAUUAAAGCGGCAUGCCCCUUUCCCUCUUGGAGUGGAAUUAAUCCACGGUUGGCAGCUCGAAGGGGUGCACUGGACGUGGUGGACCCCUGGCUCCAUCUGGUCACCCAGAGGUGAAAAAUAAAACCAAGAGUUGAAGCCCUUUUCCCGAGUCAUCAAACUCCAGUGACAGGACAAAAAUCAGGACAACUGGCAAUGGCCUAGAAUGCAGAGGAUGACCUUGGCAUCUUCCAUGUCUGAACCAAGCUCUGAGCGCUCCACAAUUCCUGCUUUGGCAGCCUUCAUGGCUGUUAGAACAAAUUGUUCUCAUUUGCCCAUUCCACCAGGAGAAGUCUUCGCGUGCUUGGGGUACCCCCCAACUCACUGAGGGGUUUGAGGUCCAGAAGUCCAAGGUGAUCUUUACUGGACCAGGUGUUCAAGCCGUGAUAACCUUGGAACCGAUGUUUACAGGCUUCCCCAGUACAGAAAGGUGAUCAGGUGAGGAUUUAGCUCUUCAGUGGAAGUUGGAGGCAACAGCAUCUGGAACCAGGAAAGGCAGAUCUACAUUCAGCAGAGAUAAGAGCCCUGAAGUGGUAAGAGUUCAAAUGGGAGGAGAAGAUGCCAUUAUAUCUCUAUUGUCAACAAAUACCCUUUCAUCUUCUACAUGUUUAUUUUAGGCUCUUUAAAUCUGGUAUUUCUGGCUGUCUGGGGAAGAAAAUACAUCCUUUUCUAAUGUGGCAGUCCUUCCUAAUGUGGCUUGCUGCUACUUUAAAAUCUUAACACACUGGGCCAAGAGAGGAAUUCAUAGUCAUUCCUUGCUGUCUUCCUACCUCCUUGCUACUUCCUUUGCCACUAUCACUUUGUAAUCUCUCCUCCUUUGAGGUUUGUUCCAACCUUCUAUAUUAUCCUGAAUACAGUUUUGUUAUCAUAGUAUAUACUCCACUUCCAGGUUACUCUCCUUUCUCUAGGAGUUCAGCGUUCCUUGAGGCCUACCCAAGUAGAGUAAAAAAGUUUUAAAUAGAAAGAGAAUUUAGUCAGGGCUUAGAAUGCUGAAUGAGACUGCAGGGUAUUGAAAAUUAUGCUGUUUGGAACAAUGCCCAAAGGGCUAUAAAACUGUGUAUGCCCUUUGAUCCAGCAAUACCACUGCUAUC